RNAcentral lists this ribosomal RNA (1372 nucleotides) under uncultured bacterium. RNAcentral describes it as "bacterial SSU rRNA". It matches the Rfam family "Bacterial small subunit ribosomal RNA", at positions 28 to 1381 of the family's 1533-position model. The record is from RNAcentral.
GAUGAACGCUGGCGGCGUGCCUAAUACAUGCAAGUCGAGCGAACGGACGAGAAGCUUGCUUCUCUGAUGUUAGCGGCGGACGGGUGAGUAACACGUGGAUAACCUACCUAUAAGACUGGGAUAACUUCGGGAAACCGGAGUUAGUACCGGAUAAUAUUUUGAACCGCAUGGUUCAAAAGUGAAAGACGGUCUUGCUGUCACUUAUAGAUGGAUCCGCGCUGCAUUAGCUAGUUGGUAAGGUAACGGCUUACCAAGGCAACGAUGCAUUGCCGACCUGAGAGGGUGAUCGGCCACACUGGAACUGAGACACGGUCCAGACUCCUACGGGAGGCAGCAGUAGGGAAUCUUCCGCAAUGGGCGAAAGCCUGACGGAGCAACGCCGCGUGAGUGAUGAAGGUCUUCGGAUUGUAAAACUCUGUUAUUAGGGAAGAACAUAUGUGUAAGUAACUGUGCACAUCUUGACGGUACCUAAUCAGAAAGCCACGGCUAACUACGUGCCAGCAGCCGCGGUAAUACGUAGGUGGCAAGCGUUAUCCGGAAUUAUUGGGCGUAAAGCGCGCGUAGGCGGUUUUUUAAGUCUGAUGUGAAAGCCCACGGCUCAACCGUGGAGGGUCAUUGGAAACUGGAAAACUUGAGUGCAGAAGAGGAGAGUGGAAUUCCAUGUGUAGCGGUGAAAUGCGCAGAGAUAUGGAGGAACACCAGUGGCGAAGGCGACUUUCUGGUCUGUAACUGACGCUGAUGUGCGAAAGCGUGGGGAUCAAACAGGAUUAGAUACCCUGGUAGUCCACGCCGUAAACGAUGAGUGCUAAGUGUUAGGGGGUUUCCGCCCCUUAGUGCUGCAGCUAACGCAUUAAGCACUCCGCCUGGGGAGUACGACCGCAAGGUUGAAACUCAAAGGAAUUGACGGGGACCCGCACAAGCGGUGGAGCAUGUGGUUUAAUUCGAAGCAACGCGAAGAACCUUACCAAAUCUUGACAUCCUUUGACAACUCUAGAGAUAGAGCUUUCCCCUUCGGGGGACAAAGUGACAGGUGGUGCAUGGUUGUCGUCAGCUCGUGUCGUGAGAUGUUGGGUUAAGUCCCGCAACGAGCGCAACCCUUAAGCUUAGUUGCCAUCAUUAAGUUGGGCACUCUAAGUUGGCUGCCGGUGACAAACCGGAGGAAGGUGGGGAUGACGUCAAAUCAUCAUGCCCCUUAUGAUUUGGGCUACACACGUGCUACAAUGGACAAUACAAAGGGCAGCGAAACCGUGAGGUCAAGCAAAUCCCAUAAAGUUGUUCUCAGUUCGGAUUGUAGUCUGCAACUCGACUACAUGAAGCUGGAAUCGCUAGUAAUCGUAGAUCAGCAUGCUACGGUGAAUACGUUCCCGGGUCU